GUCGUUCUCUUUGUUGUGCUCCGUAGUUUCGCUGGCACCUGUCAGCGGCAGAGAAAUGACAGACGAGUCCAUAUACGUGGCUACAAAAAGUAGUCUCGAGCACAGAGCUGAACUCCAAACGUCGUCAUCGGUUGGUCUGAACUUAGGAGAUGGUGGUGGCCCCUAUGCAGCCCUCAGCUCAACAUGUUCAACCUGACGAGUCGCAUAUCUAACUGGAUCUCCAAAUGCCAACCAAUACGGCAAGUGACUGUGCUGAUAACUGGCCUCAGCAAGGCCGGAAAAACAUCCACAGUGAGGGCAAUCUUGAGAGUCCCACUGGAAGAAAAAGAAGAGCCUGAGGAAUGUGUGCACACAGAAUUGAGAGUGGACAACUUCCUGGUCACUGUGCUGGAAGGAGGUGGUGCUUCAGCAGCUCCUGAGGCCUGGAGGCACCACUGUUGCGAGGCCCAUGGUAUCAUUUUUGUGGUAGAUUCCAGCGACAGGACACGGGCAGAGGAGGCCAAGAACCUGCUGACAGACCUGCUAAAGCAGCCCACGGUGGCUGGCAAGCCCAUCUUAGUGUUGGCCAACAAGCAGGACAAGAGGAAUGCUAUGCUGGGCAAUGAGCUAAUUGAGAUCCUGUCACUGGAGAAACUGAUCAGCCAGAGCCAAUCUCUCUGUCAUGUUGAGCCAUGCUCUGCUUUGCUGGACAUGCGCAGGUGCUCAGACAGGAAGACAAUGCUGGGCUUGCGGUGGUUGCUGAGGGCUGUGCUCCUUGACUACCACAAGUUCUGUGCCCGUGUGGCCCAGGACUGCAGGCAGACUGUGAAUAGUGAGGAGGGGGAGAGAAAGAAGCACAAGAAGGCUGAGAGAGGGCUGAGUAAAUGUAAAGAAGCAAAGAAAGUCAACACAUGUAAAACCAGACGUUACUGCAAACAGAAAGCACAAGCGAAGGAGAAGAGGACUACGGAAAAAAACACAGGGGACAAACUGCGGCCCACUGGAAAUAUCCUGGAUAAGGAAAACACAAUCAACAUGAUAAAGAGGAAAAAGCAGCGAGUGAAAAUGAGGAAAAAUGUGAAAAGAAGGCCAGGCUGUAAGGAAGAAGAGGAGGCGGAGGAGAGGGGUAUGGAGACAGGACCAGAGCAGAAAGAGGAAGGACAUAGCUAUGCCCUACUGCCUGGUGACAGCAUGAGGUCAAAGCGUAAACCCAAAAGAGUGAACGAGACCUUUCUGGAAUCAACUGAAAAUUCUAAAAGGAAGAAAGCACAGCAAGUUUUCAACCCACCUAUCUGAUGCUGUGCUGAAGAUGUCCAUCAAAAGGAGCACCAAAAGUCAACAUAAGGACAUUAGAUGCAAGCAUUCAGAAGAUAUACACAGCCAUUCAUUUAGCUAAUUUCUCACUUGGUGACCUUCUCCUUAUCCUCCUUAUAUGGGGUGUCAGUGUCAAAUAAUGGUUAGGGAAUAUGAGUUGCAAAUUCAAGGCUCAAUUUCUAGGGAAGAAAGAAAAGGAGAAGAAAAAUAUGACAACAGUUAUUAAGAAAAACAAGAUCAAUUCUGCAGAGGUAGCAGCUGAAUAUUCCCAGCCAGUUGACCUUUCUUAAAAACCUCUG
RNA transcript from Conger conger (European conger), 1592 nucleotides. It is a transcript of the gene named ADP-ribosylation factor-like protein 13B, with no coding region annotated. The transcript is spliced from 10 exons. The record is from RefSeq and is a predicted model, not a curated record. NCBI's taxonomy places the organism in Eukaryota, Metazoa, Chordata, Actinopteri, Anguilliformes, Congridae.